CAGCGUCACGAGUGGGAAUCGUAUUUAUUUGGCCUAAAGCGUCCGUAGCCGGUCUGAUAAAUUCAUUGUGAAAUCAUUGUGCUUAACACAAUGGCGUGCAGUGAACACUGUCAGACUUGAGACUGGAAGGAGCUAGAAGUAUUCUUGGGGGAGCGGUAAAAUGCUAUAAUCCCAAGAGGACUACCUGUGGCGAAGGCGUCUAGCUAGUACAGUUCUGACGGUCAGGGACGAAAGCUAGGGGAGCGAUCCGGAUUAGAGACCCGAGUAGUCC
RNAcentral lists this ribosomal RNA (271 nucleotides) under uncultured archaeon. Its description in RNAcentral is "partial 16S ribosomal RNA". It matches the Rfam family "Archaeal small subunit ribosomal RNA", at positions 477 to 747 of the family's 1478-position model. The record is from RNAcentral.